ACAGUUGCUAAGACAGGAUAGGAAAUUAAGAGGCAUCUUUUAAUUUUUAAAAGACCUUUUUCGAAAGGUAUACUUAAAGAGGGGCUUGCGCCACAUUAGUUAGUUGGUAAGGUAAAGGCUUACCAAGACGAUGAUGUGUAGCUGGACUGAGAGGUCGAACAGCCACAUUGGGACUGAGACACGGCCCAAACUCCUACGGGAGGCAGCAGUAAGGAAUUUUUGGCAAUGGAGGAAACUCUGACCGAGCGACGUCGCGUGAACAAUGAAGUACUUCGGUAUGUAAAGUUCUUUUAUUGAAAAAGAAAAAAUAGUGGAAAAACUAUCUUGACAUUAUUCAAUGAAUAAGCCCCGGCUAAUUAUGUGCCAGCAGCCGCGGUAAUACAUAAGGGGCGAGCGUUAUCCGGAAUUAUUGGGCGUAAAGGGUGCGUAGGCGGUUUGAUAAGUCUAUAGUUUAAAUGCAGUGCUUAACGCUGUAGCGCUAUAGAAACUGUCUGACUAGAGUUAGAUAGAGGCAAGCGGAAUUCCAUGUGUAGCGGUAAAAUGCGUAAAUAUAUGGAGGAACACCAGAGGCGUAGGCGGCUUGCUGGGUCUUAACUGACGCUGAGGCACGAAAGCGUGGGGAGCAAACAGGAUUAGAUACCCUGGUAGUCCACGCCGUAAACGAUGAGUACUAAGUGUCGGGUUUCGGCUCGGUACUGAAGUUAACACAUUAAGUACUCCGCCUGAGUAGUACGUACGCAAGUAUGAAACUUAAAGGAAUUGACGGGACCCCGCACAAGCGGUGGAUCAUGUUGUUUAAUUCGAAGAUACACGAAAAACCUUACCAGGUCUUGACAUAAUUUUGCGACAUUAUAGAAAUAUAAUGAAGGUUAUCAGAAUUACAGGUGGUGCAUGGUUGUCGUCAGCUCGUGUCGUGAGAUGUUAGGUUAAGUCCUAAAACGAGCGCAACCCUUGUCGUUAGUUGCGACCACGUAAUGGUGAGCACUUUAGCGAGACUGCCAAUGAAAAAUUGGAGGAAGGUGAGGAUUACGUCAAAUCAUCAUGCCCCUUAUGAUCUGGGCUACAAACGUGAUACAAUGGCUGUUACAAAGAGUAGCUACAACGUGAGUUUUUAGCCAAUCUCAAAAAAACAGUCUCAGUUCGGAUUGAAGUCUGCAACUCGACUUCAUGAAGUUGGAAUCGCUAGUAAUCGCGAAUCAGCAUGUCGCGGUGAAUACGUUCUCGGGGUUUGUACACACCGCCCGUCAAACCACGAAAGUUGAUAAUACCCGAAAGCGGUCGCCUAACUUCGUCAGAAGAGGGAGCCGUCUAAGGUAGGAUCGAUGAUUG
RNAcentral lists this ribosomal RNA (1329 nucleotides) under 'Cajanus cajan' little leaf witches'-broom phytoplasma. Its description in RNAcentral is "bacterial SSU rRNA". It matches the Rfam family "Bacterial small subunit ribosomal RNA", at positions 156 to 1477 of the family's 1533-position model. The record is from RNAcentral. Lineage: Bacteria; Bacillati; Mycoplasmatota; Mollicutes; Acholeplasmatales; Acholeplasmataceae.